Cordylochernes scorpioides is the source of this 83-nucleotide non-coding RNA. The record is from the annotation of a GenBank genome assembly. NCBI's taxonomy places the organism in Eukaryota, Metazoa, Arthropoda, Arachnida, Pseudoscorpiones, Chernetidae.
AUGGAGAACGCCGAGUGGACAAGGCACCUGCCCGGUAAGCAGAAGGGUGUGGGUUCGAUUCCCGCCCCGGGACACUUUUUAUU